RNAcentral lists this ribosomal RNA (468 nucleotides) under uncultured bacterium. RNAcentral describes it as "partial 16S ribosomal RNA". It matches the Rfam family "Bacterial small subunit ribosomal RNA", at positions 28 to 507 of the family's 1533-position model. The record is from RNAcentral.
GACGAACGCUGGCGGCGUGCUUAACACAUGCAAGUCGAACGGAAAGGCCCUGCUUUUGUGGGGUGCUCGAGUGGCGAACGGGUGAGUAACACGUGAGUAACCUGCCCUUGACUUUGGGAUAACUUCAGGAAACUGGGGCUAAUACCGGAUAGGAGCUCCUGCUGCAUGGUGGGGGUUGGAAAGUUUCGGCGGUUGGGGAUGGACUCGCGGCUUAUCAGCUUGUUGGUGGGGUAGUGGCUUACCAAGGCUUUGACGGGUAGCCGGCCUGAGAGGGUGACCGGCCCCAUUGGGCCUGGGGUACGGCCCGGACUGCUGCGGGCGGCAUCGGUGGGGGAUAUUGCGCGCUAGGCCGAGGCCUGAUGGAGCGCCGCCGGGUGGUGGAUCUCGGUCUUCGGGUUGGAAACCGCUUUCGCCUGUGACGAAGCGUGAGUGACGGUACUGGAUAAAGAAGCACCGGCUAACUACGUG